Molecule: long non-coding RNA, 415 nt
Organism: Balaenoptera musculus (blue whale)
Lineage: Eukaryota; Metazoa; Chordata; Mammalia; Artiodactyla; Balaenopteridae
Exons: 3
Source: RefSeq, a predicted model, not a curated record
GAUGCCAAAGUGGGUCACACCAAUCAUGGUAUGGUACCCUAGAGCCGGGGCUGAGCCUGAAGACUUGGACAGUGGUAAUGCCAGACUCACUGCAGAGCAAGAGGGCUCUUCUGAGAUCCACCGAGUAGGCUUGAGAGAGAUGGAUGGAAACAUCACAAGGUACCCUGGCUGCACCCAUCCAAUUUCCAGCCUCGAAACUUCCUGUCCUGUUUCUACUGAAGUGAAAGACUUACAAGAUGUGUUGUAACCCUAACCAUGGCUGAGAGAAGGCAGAGACUGAAAUUUUUCAACUUAAAAAUUAAUAUGAUAAAGGACAACAAAGUAUUUUGAGAGAAAAAUGUGAGAAGACAAAUGAAAAACUGUAAUAAACCUGAGAAAAGGUAAUUAUUUGAACAAGACACUUCAAAGGUUGAAA